CCUACGGGGGGCUGCAGUGGGGAAUAUUGGACAAUGGGCGCAAGCCUGAUCCAGCAAUGCCGCGUGUGUGAAGAAGGCCUGCGGGUUGUAAAGCACUUUUGUUCGGGAAGAAAACGCGCCGACUAAUACUUGGUGUGGAUGACGGUACCGAAAGAAUAAGCACCGGCUAACUUCGUGCCAGCAGCCGCGGUAAUACGAAGGGUGCAAGCGUUAAUCGGAAUUACUGGGCGUAAAGGGUGCGUAGGCGGCUUUUUAAGUCGGAUGUGAAAUCCCCG
Molecule: ribosomal RNA, 275 nt
Filed under: uncultured bacterium
Lineage: Bacteria
Description: partial 16S ribosomal RNA
Rfam family: Bacterial small subunit ribosomal RNA
Source: RNAcentral